RNAcentral lists this ribosomal RNA (460 nucleotides) under uncultured bacterium. RNAcentral's name for it is "partial 16S ribosomal RNA". It matches the Rfam family "Bacterial small subunit ribosomal RNA", at positions 338 to 795 of the family's 1533-position model. The record is from RNAcentral.
CCUACGGGGGGCUGCGGUGAGGAAUAUUGGUCAAUGGACGCAAGUCUGAACCAGCCAUGCCGCGUGCAGGAAGACGGCUCUAUGAGUUGUAAACUGCUUUUUUACGGGAGUAAACGCAGAUACGUUUCUCUGUCUUAAAUUAUCGUACGAAUAAGGAUCGGCUAACUCCGUUCCAGCAGCCGCGGUAAUACGGAGGAUUCAAGCGUUAUCCGGAUUUAUGGGGUUUAAAGGGUGCGUAGGCGGUCGGUUAAGUUAGAGGUGAAAACCCGAGGCUCAACCUCGGAAUUGCCUCUGAUACUGGUCGGCUAGAGAGUAGUUGAGGUAGGCGGAAUGCAUGGUGUAGCGGUGAAAUGCUUAGAGAUCAUACAGAACACCGAUUGCGAAGGCAGCUUACUAAGCUACUUCUGACGUUGAGGCACGAAAGCGUGGGUAGCAAACAGGAUUAGAUACCCUUGUAGUC